CCAAGCACGUCGGGUAUUGUUUAAAGAAUAUCAGCCAGCUGGGAUUAGACACGGCCCAGACUCCUGCGGAAGCAGCAGUGGGAAUAUUGACAAUGGGCGCAAGCUUGAUCCAGCCAUGCCGCGUGAGUGAUGAAGGCCCUAGGGUUGUAAAGCUCUUUCGCCAGGGACGAUAAUGACGGUACCUGGAUAAGAAGCCCCGGCUAACUUCGUGCCAGCAGCCGCGGUAAUACGAAGGGGGCUAGCGUUGUUCGGAAUCACUGGGCGUAAAGCGCACGUAGGCGGAUUGUUAAGUCAGGGGUGAAAUCCCGAGGCUCAACCUCGGAACUGCCUUUGAUACUGGCGAUCUAGAGUCCGGGAGAGGUGAGUGGAACUGCGAGUGUAGAGGUGAAAUUCGUAGAUAUUCGCAAGAACACCAGUGCCGAAGGCGGCUCACUGGCCCGGAACUGACGCUGAGGUG
Molecule: ribosomal RNA, 457 nt
Filed under: methanotroph M8
Lineage: Bacteria; Pseudomonadati; Pseudomonadota; Alphaproteobacteria; Hyphomicrobiales; Methylocystaceae
Description: bacterial SSU rRNA
Rfam family: Bacterial small subunit ribosomal RNA
Source: RNAcentral